UGUCAGUUUCAGGGAAGGUGCAAUUCCUUACUGGCGGUAAUCCGCACCCCGGGAUUCAUAACGGGAGCAUGCGGAAAGCCCGCGAGCCGCCCUAAGGCGGCCGAUCCGGUGCGAUUCCGGAGCCAACGGUUACAGUCCGGAUGGAAGAAACGAGGA
This 156-nucleotide non-coding RNA is filed under the name Bifidobacterium callitrichos. RNAcentral's name for it is "FMN sequence". It matches the Rfam family "FMN riboswitch aptamer (RFN element)". From Rfam's summary of the family: The RFN element is a highly conserved domain that is found frequently in the 5'-untranslated regions of prokaryotic mRNAs that encode for flavin mononucleotide (FMN) biosynthesis and transport proteins. Lineage: Bacteria; Bacillati; Actinomycetota; Actinomycetes; Bifidobacteriales; Bifidobacteriaceae. The record is from Rfam by way of RNAcentral.